This is an RNA transcript of Urocitellus parryii (Arctic ground squirrel), 1768 nucleotides long. It is a transcript of the gene named RP9 pre-mRNA splicing factor, with no coding region annotated. The record is from RefSeq and is a predicted model, not a curated record. NCBI's taxonomy places the organism in Eukaryota, Metazoa, Chordata, Mammalia, Rodentia, Sciuridae.
CCGGCCGGCGGGUCGCGGGACGGCGGGAGGGGGCGCUGCGAUCUUGGCCGCGGCCUCCACCCGAGCCGCGUGUGGGAGUCGCGAUGUCUUCCCGGCCGGGGCGCGACGACGCGGGGGCGCGGGGCGUGCGGCGGCAGCGGGAGCCGGCGGAGCAGGAGCUGCAGCGGCGCCGGGAGCAGAAGCGGCGGCGACACGACGCGCAGCAGCUGCAGCAGCUCAAACACCUAGAGUCCUUCUAUGAAAAACCUCCUCCUGGGCUUAUUAAGGAAGAUGAGACUAAACCAGAAGACUGUAUUCCUGAUGUACCAGGCAAUGAACAUGCCAGGGAAUUUCUGGCUCACGCGCCAACUAAAGGACUUUGGAUGCCACUGGGGAAAGAAGUCAAAGUUAUGCAGUGUUGGCGAUGCAAACGGUAUGGUCACCGAACGGGUGACAAAGAAUGCCCUUUUUUUAUCAAAGGCAACCAGAAGUUAGAACAGUUCAGAGUAGCACAUGAAGAUCCCAUGUAUGACAUCAUUCGAGAGAAUAAAAGACAUGAAAAGGAUGUGAGGAUUCAGCAACUAAAACAGUUACUGGAGGAUUCCACCUCAGAUGAGGAUGGGAGCAGUUCCAGUUCUUCAGAAUGUAAAGAAAAGCAUAAGAAAAAGAAGAAGAAAGAAAAGCAUAAGAAAAGGAAGAAGGAAAAGAAAAAGAAGAAAAAACGGAAGCAUAAGUCUUCUAAGUCAAGUGAGAGUUCAGACUCGGACUGACAAGAAUUAGAUUCUCUACAAAAAUCAAACACUGUGGCCAAAGAACAGAGGGAGAUGUGACCCAGGAGUAACAAGUGACAGAGGACAUCUGGCUUCACAGCUGUGGAUUCUUACCACCUUGCCAUGCUGGUAACCAAGAGAAGAGAUUCCAAGCCUAUGAAAGAUGUCAUGUGCCAUCACUGGCUUUUAAAGAUAAAGACAAAGGGCCACAAGAUGAGACUGUUGCAGACCCUAAUAGUAGGUCCUGAGCAAGGAAAUGCCUUCAGCUGAAAGCAACAAGAACUGAAUUCUGCUUCCUCAGUGACAUGGAUGCAUAUUGUUCCCCAGAGCCUCAGGUGAGGACAUCGAGAUUUGGAGAUGCUAAUUAAUCCACCUAUAUUGGAGAAGUUGCCAUCAUAAUAGUUGGGAGAGGAGUAACCUGAGAUCUUUGGAUUCCUAAACCCAGUGCCUUUCCUGUUGUUGGGGUAGUCAUUAUUGCCCUCAUUUUGAUAUUCUCUGUUCUGCUUUAAAAGAGAUGGAUUUUAUUUUCCUCUCAGUUGACACUAUUGAUCCCAGAUGUAGAAUUCUUUUUUUUUUUUUUUUCUUUGCUGUGCUGGAAUUCAACUCCAAGGCUUCAUGCUUGUUAAGCAGCCCUCUACCACUGAGCAAUAUUCCUAGCCCCUUUUUAAAGAUUUUGUUAUUUGGUUUCUGGUGCUGGCAAUUGAACUCAGGCACCACCAGCUAUACCUUUAACCAGAUGGAAAAUUUAAACAUUAAGUAGAAAGAUGGUCUUCCCUUUUGUUUUAGUCAGCUUAUUCGCUGCUGUGACUAAAAGGACCCAACCAGAACAACUAUAGAGGAGGAGAAGUUUAUUUAAGAGCUCACAGUUUUUAGUUCAUAAACAGCAGGAUCCAUUCCUUGGGGCUCAAGGCAGGACAUCAUGGCUGGCAGAGUGUGACAGAAGGUAGCAGCUCACAUGCCAAUCAGGAAGCAGAGAGAGUCCAAUCACCAGAUACAAAAUAUAUACCCAAAGCCAGGCC